This 244-nucleotide ribosomal RNA is filed under the name uncultured bacterium. RNAcentral describes it as "partial small subunit ribosomal RNA". It matches the Rfam family "Bacterial small subunit ribosomal RNA", at positions 26 to 285 of the family's 1533-position model. The record is from RNAcentral.
AGAAUCAACGCUGGCGGCGUGCCUAACACAUGCAAGUCGAACGAGAAAGUGGAGCAAUCCAUGAGUAAAGUGGCGCACGGGUGAGUAACACGUGACUAACCUACCUUUAGUGGGGGAUAACCUAGGGAAACCUGGGCUAAUACCGCAUAAUACUUACGAGUCAAAGCAGCAAUGCGCUGAAAGAGGGGGUCGCGGUCGAUUAGUUAGUUGGCAGGGUAAUGGCCUACCAAGACUGUGAUCGAUA